Long non-coding RNA from Melanotaenia boesemani (Boeseman's rainbowfish), 296 nucleotides. RefSeq lists it as uncharacterized. The record is from RefSeq and is a predicted model, not a curated record. The transcript has 2 exons. NCBI's taxonomy places the organism in Eukaryota, Metazoa, Chordata, Actinopteri, Atheriniformes, Melanotaeniidae.
CAGUGGACGGUACAGAUGUGGAGUGAAGAGGGAAGGAGGUUUCCUCAGAUAUAAAAGAGUUCAGCUCAAAGUCAAAGGGAGAGUUCAGGUCCAGGAUCAGAGGACAUCAGGAACAGAAGCAGAUGGCUGAUCAAUCAGUCUGAUCUUUGAUUAUUGAUCCAAUCUGACUUUGGAUCAGAGAGAAAGUAUCAGUGAAGGAUCUGAUGGACGAUGGAUGAAGAGAGGACUUGUUCCAGCCUGCAGACGUAGUAUUGAUCAGUAGUGAUCAGUGAUGUCAGAGUGGAGUCAGUGUGAUG